RNAcentral lists this ribosomal RNA (253 nucleotides) under uncultured bacterium. RNAcentral's name for it is "partial 16S ribosomal RNA". It matches the Rfam family "Bacterial small subunit ribosomal RNA", at positions 524 to 776 of the family's 1533-position model. The record is from RNAcentral.
UACGAACGGUCCAAACGUUAUUCGGAAUCACUGGGCUUAAAGCGUCCGUAGGCGGCUCGGAAAGUAGGGUGUGAAAUCCCACGGCUCAACCGUGGAAUUGCGCUCUAAACUAUCGAGCUAGAGGGAGAUAGAGGUGAGCGGAACUGAUGGUGGAGCGGUGAAAUGCGUUGAUAUCAUCAGGAACACCGGUGGCGAAGGCGGCAUCCUGGACCGGCAUUGACGCUGAGGCGCGAAAGCCAGGGGAGCAAACGGG